This 497-nucleotide ribosomal RNA is filed under the name uncultured bacterium. RNAcentral's name for it is "partial 16S ribosomal RNA". It matches the Rfam family "Bacterial small subunit ribosomal RNA", at positions 28 to 507 of the family's 1533-position model. The record is from RNAcentral.
GAUGAACGCUGGCGGCGUGCCUAAUACAUGCAAGUCGAGCGAACAGACGAGGAGCUUGCUCCUUCGACGUUAGCGGCGGACGGGUGAGUAACACGUAGGUAACCUACCUAUAAGACUGGGAUAACUUCGGGAAACCGGAGCUAAUACCGGAUAAUAUUUCGAACCGCAUGGUUCGAUAGUGAAAGAUGGCUUUGCUAUCACUUAUAGAUGGACCUGCGCCGUAUUAGCUAGUUGGUAAGGUAACGGCUUACCAAGGCAACGAUACGUAGCCGACCUGAGAGGGUGAUCGGCCAAAAUGGAACUGAGACACGGUCCAGACUCCUACGGGAGGCAGCAGUAGGGAAUCUUCCGUAAUGGGCGAAAGCCUGACGGAGCAAAGCAGCGUGAGUGAUGAAGGUCGUCGGAUCGUAAAACUCUGUGAUUAGGGAAGAACAAAUGUGUAAGUAACUAGGCACGUCUGGAAGGUACCUAAUCAGAAAGACACGGCGAACUACGGG